GACUGAGGAGGCUUUUGUGGGGGGAUCGGAGGUGCCCCUGCUCCAGGCGACGCUUAAGGUAGAACUAGGGCUACCUUAAACGUCCUCCACCUUAAGGACGUCUUUCUCAUCCCCCAAAAAGGAGGAAGAAUGAAUGGAUGGGUGCUCAUCAUAGCGGGGGAAGAUCUUGCCUAUCCCAGGGAUGGGAUACAGCUAAAGAUGGGAUGCAGCAGACCUCUCUUGGCCCCUAGCAACCUCUGCUCCAACACAUCCAGGUGACAGUCACAUUGACGAAAAACAACAGGAAAAACUCAGCCGCUAUCAGGACCUCAAGAUUGAACUUCAAAGACUCUAGCAGAAACCAGUGCAGGUGGUUCCGGUGGUGAUGGGCACAUUGGGUGCCGUGCCAAAAGAUCUCAGCCGGCAUUUGGAAACAAUAGACAUUGACAAAAUUACGAUCUGCCAACUGCAAAAGGCCACCCUGCUGGGAUCUGUGCACAUCAUCUGAAAAUACAUCACACAGUCCUAGACACUUGAGAAGUGUUCGACUUGUGAUUUUGUGAUACGAAAUCCAGCAUAUCUAUCUUGUUUGCUGUGUCAUAAUAAAAUAAUACAUUUAUUCUUAUAUGCUGCCACCAUCUCCCCGAAGGGACUCAGGGUGGCUUAGACAUGGCACAAAAGUACAUAAAAACAGAGCGUAAAACACUACACAACAGAUUUGUGUAAAAUAUGUUUAAAACAGCCACUAAGUGAGGUUCAGAAAACCUUUUGGGCAAACAUUGAACUAAGGGGAUCCCGUUUGGAAUUUGGACCUUCAGUUUAAGAAUCAGUGCUCUAUCUGGCAUUUCCACAUGGAGUGUUAACUUCAUGUCCUCUGAGGCCCCUUCCAAUUUUAUGGUUUUAUGUUUCUCCCUCAUCCUCUCAUUUUCUUUCUCUUUGACAUGUUAUGCAGUGUUUAUAGCAGGUAAUUUUUAAUUAAAAAGAAAGAAAGAA
Molecule: long non-coding RNA, 972 nt
Organism: Anolis carolinensis (green anole)
Lineage: Eukaryota; Metazoa; Chordata; Lepidosauria; Squamata; Anolidae
Exons: 2
Source: RefSeq, a predicted model, not a curated record